Long non-coding RNA from Carassius gibelio (silver crucian carp), 479 nucleotides. RefSeq lists it as uncharacterized. NCBI's taxonomy places the organism in Eukaryota, Metazoa, Chordata, Actinopteri, Cypriniformes, Cyprinidae. The record is from RefSeq and is a predicted model, not a curated record. The transcript is spliced from 2 exons.
GAUUCAAACUGGACUGGUUAAACUAGUAUACUUUUAUUAUGUACUCUUUGCAAACCAAAGCAACUUUAAUCUCUUUAUGCUUUCCACUCCUUUCUUUUUGAUAUAUAGUUUGCGUUUCAUGAUAAGGCCAAGAAAAAGAGAGAAGAGAGUAUGUGAGAGUGAUAACGAGGCUCAGCUAGCCUUGUGACUUUUUUUUUCUAAAUUCAACGUGCCGCUGACUUUGCAGUCCUGGAGGUGUUGGUGUGAACGUGUGUUUGGUUGAGGCACAGGACAUCUAUGUUGGGUUGACAUCGGACAGACGGUUCAUUUUGAUUGAGAAUGAAUUUCGGGCUGACGUCAGUAUUUGACACCAAUUUGAUGUAGACUUAAUGUUGGAUUUAGGGUACACAACCUAAAAACAACAAAUAUCAACAUCAUCUGACAUCGCUAUUAUUAUCAAAUUAACAUUUACAUUAAAGGUCACCCGAUGUUUAACAAAA